AAGAGUUUAGGGUCUCCAUGGCCCCAUCUCCAACCCUUUGUUUAACGAACCGUAGUUGCUUUGGCCGGUGGAGGGCCUGCCCUCUAAGCCGCCCCGUUUCACGGUCGGCGCCGGCCGGAGGAAAUCAAAACUCGUGUCUUUGUAUGUCGUCUGAGCAUGAAUUUAAUAGUUUA
RNAcentral lists this unclassified non-coding RNA (173 nucleotides) under uncultured fungus. RNAcentral's name for it is "sequence contains ITS1". The record is from RNAcentral. Lineage: Eukaryota; Fungi.